Molecule: ribosomal RNA, 373 nt
Filed under: uncultured bacterium
Lineage: Bacteria
Description: bacterial SSU rRNA
Rfam family: Bacterial small subunit ribosomal RNA
Source: RNAcentral
ACGUAGGGUGCGAGCGUUAAUCGGAAUUACUGGGCGUAAAGCGUGCGCAGGCGGCUCUUUAAGUCAGAUGUGAAAGCCCCGGGCUUAACCUGGGAACUGCGUUUGAAACUGGAGGGCUGGAGUGUGGCAGAGGGAGGUGGAAUUCCACGUGUAGCAGUGAAAUGCGUAGAGAUGUGGAGGAACACCAAUGGCGAAGGCAGCCUCCUGGGCCAACACUGACGCUCAUGCACGAAAGCGUGGGGAGCAAACAGGAUUAGAUACCCUGGUAGUCCACGCCCUAAACGAUGUCAACUGGUUGUUGGGGAAGGAAACUUCCUUAGUAACGAAGCUAACGCGUGAAGUUGACCGCCUGGGGAGUACGGCCGCAAGGUUA